GUUUUGAAUGUUUAUU
RNAcentral lists this ribosomal RNA (16 nucleotides) under Staphylococcus aureus 1801-2 2010. Its description in RNAcentral is "partial 16S ribosomal RNA". The record is from RNAcentral. Lineage: Bacteria; Bacillati; Bacillota; Bacilli; Caryophanales; Staphylococcaceae.